GGGGGUGAAUGGGAGCCGAUUCAAAUUUUCUCCAAGACCUUCAGCUAAAACCCCCAAGCCUGUCUUCUAGCAAAAUCAAGUCCACUUAGCUAUGCAAAAGCUAAUGGACAUAGGAAUGAUGCUAGGAACCCAAUUUGAGAAUAGCGGAAGUAAGAAAGACUCCAAACAAGCUCUGGAAAAUAAACUUUGAAAACCAACACCUCUGUGCGGAAAAAUCUAGAGGAACCUUCAGAAAUUUCCGGAGGUCCGGAGAUUUUCGGAAUUAUAUCCGGACAUUUCCGGAAUUCUAAAACAGCCUAUAUGAAGAUGGAAGAAAAAUCCGAAACUCAACCAAACGACCUCCAAAAAUCACGAAAUUUUAACCAUAGCUUCCAAUAAACAUAUCAAACAUAUUCCAAAAAUAUAUCCUCAAAAAGAUUAGCCAAACAAAGGGAAUUAAAAAUCUUGUGAAGAACACCGCUUUUUCAACCCUAGAAUUUGAAUCGCCCCGAUCUAUGAAAUCGUGAGGAGUUAGAUGAAUUCCUUUCAUAGAAAGACUUCACUCACAUCCUAGUUCAUCUCUACCCCUAUAGCUACUACUAAGAUAACUACCC
This 593-nucleotide long non-coding RNA is filed under the name Setaria viridis. RNAcentral's name for it is "long non-coding RNA (SVIR_LNC009388)". The record is from RNAcentral. Lineage: Eukaryota; Viridiplantae; Streptophyta; Magnoliopsida; Poales; Poaceae.